AUUAAACGCUGGCGGCAUGCCUUACACAUGCAAGUCGAACGGCAGCACGGGGGCAACCCUGGUGGCGAGUGGCGGACGGGUGAGUAAAGCAUCGGAACGUAUCCUGGAGUGGGGGAUAACGUAGCAAAAGUUACGCUAAUACCGCAUAUUCUGUGAGCAGGAAAGCAGGGGAUCGCAAGACCUUGCGCUCUGGGAGCGGCCGAUGUCGGAUUAGCUAGUUGGUGGGGUAAAGGCCUACCAAGGCGACGAUCCGUAGCGGGUCUGAGAGGAUGAUCCGCCACACUGGGACUGAGACACGGCCCAGACUCCUACGGGAGGC
Molecule: ribosomal RNA, 319 nt
Filed under: uncultured bacterium
Lineage: Bacteria
Description: bacterial SSU rRNA
Rfam family: Bacterial small subunit ribosomal RNA
Source: RNAcentral